AAAGCCCGCUCGCCGGAAGACCAAGGGUUCCUGUCCAACGUUAAUCGGGGCAGGGUGAGUCGACCCCUAAGGCGAGGCCGAAAGGCGUAGUCGAUGGGAAACAGGUUAAUAUUCCUGUACUUGGUGUUACUGCGAAGGGGGGACGGAGAAGGCUAUGUUGGCCGGGCGACGGUUGUCCCGGUUUAAGCGUGUAGGCUGGUUUUCCAGGCAAAUCCGGAAAAUCAAGGCUGAGGCGUGAUGACGAGGCACUACGGUGCUGAAGCAACAAAUGCCCUGCUUCCAGGAAAAGCCUCUAAGCAUCAGGUAACAUCAAAUCGUACCCCAAACCGACACAGGUGGUCAGGUAGAGAAUACCAAGGCGCUUGAGAGAACUCGGGUGAAGGAACUAGGCAAAAUGGUGCCGUAACUUCGGGAGAAGGCACGCUGAUAUGUAGGUGAAGUCCCUUGCGGAUGGAGCUGAAAUCAGUCGAAGAUACCAGCUGGCUGCAACUGUUUAUUAAAAACACAGCACUGUGCAAACACGAAAGUGGACGUAUACGGUGUGACGCCUGCCCGGUGCCGGAAGGUUAAUUGAUGGGGUCAGCGCAAGCGAAGCUCUUGAUCGAAGCCCCGGUAAACGGCGGCCGUAACUAUAACGGUCCUAAGGUAGCGAAAUUCCUUGUCGGGUAAGUUCCGACCUGCACGAAUGGCGUAAUGAUGGCCAGGCUGUCUCCACCCGAGACUCAGUGAAAUUGAACUCGCUGUGAAGAUGCAGUGUACCCGCGGCAAGACGGAAAGACCCCGUGAACCUUUACUAUAGCUUGACACUGAACAUUGAGCCUUGAUGUGUAGGAUAGGUGGGAGGCUUUGAAGUGUGGACGCCAGUCUGCAUGGAGCCGGCCUUGAAAUACCACCCUUUAAUGUUUGAUGUUCUAACGUGGACCCGUGAUCCGGGUUGCGGACAGUGUCUGGUGGGUAGUUUGACUGGGGCGGUCUCCUCCUAAAGAGUAACGGAGGAGCACGAAGGUUGGCUAAUCCUGGUCGGACAUCAGGAGGUUAGUGCAAUGGCAUAAGCCAGCUUGACUGCGAGCGUGACGGCGCGAGCAGGUGCGAAAGCAGGUCAUAGUGAUCCGGUGGUUCUGAAUGGAAGGGCCAUCGCUCAACGGAUAAAAGGUACUCCGGGGAUAACAGGCUGAUACCGCCCAAGAGUUCAUAUCGACGGCGGUGUUUGGCACCUCGAUGUCGGCUCAUCACAUCCUGGGGCUGAAGUAGGUCCCAAGGGUAUGGCUGUUCGCCAUUUAAAGUGGUACGCGAGCUGGGUUUAGAACGUCGUGAGACAGUUCGGUCCCUAUCUGCCGUGGGCGCUGGAGAACUGAGGGGGGCUGCUCCUAGUACGAGAGGACCGGAGUGGACGCAUCACUGGUGUUCGGGUUGUCAUGCCAAUGGCACUGCCCGGUAGCUAAAUGCGGAAGAGAUAAGUGCUGAAAGCAUCUAAGCACGAAACUUGCCCCGAGAUGAGUUCUCCCUGACCCUUUAAGGGUCCUGAAGGAACGUUGAAGACGACGACGUUGAUAGGCCGGGUGUGUAAGCGCAGCGAUGCGUUGAGCUAACCGGUACUAAUGAACCGUGAGG
This 1611-nucleotide ribosomal RNA is filed under the name Shigella sonnei. Its description in RNAcentral is "partial 23S ribosomal RNA". It matches the Rfam family "Bacterial large subunit ribosomal RNA", at positions 1325 to 2915 of the family's 2925-position model. Lineage: Bacteria; Pseudomonadati; Pseudomonadota; Gammaproteobacteria; Enterobacterales; Enterobacteriaceae. The record is from RNAcentral.